RNAcentral lists this ribosomal RNA (402 nucleotides) under bacterium. Its description in RNAcentral is "partial 16S ribosomal RNA". It matches the Rfam family "Bacterial small subunit ribosomal RNA", at positions 355 to 776 of the family's 1533-position model. The record is from RNAcentral.
UGGGGAAUUUUGCACAAUGGGGGAAACCCUGAUGCAGCGACGCCGCGUGAUUUAGAAGGCCUUCGGGUUGUAAAAAUCUUUUCUAUGGGAAGAAAAUGACAGUACCAUAGGAAUAAGGACCGGCUAAUUACGUACCAGCAGCCGCGGUAAUACGUAAGGUCCGAGCGUUGUCCGGAAUCAUUGGGCGUAAAGGGUACGUAGGCGGGUAAGCAAGUUAGAAGUGAAAUCCUAUAGCUCAACUAUAGUAAGCUUUUAAAACUGCUCAUCUUGAGGUAUGGAAGGGAAAGUGGAAUUCCUAGUGUAGCGGUGAAAUGCGCAGAUAUUAGGAGGAAUACCGGUGGCGAAGGCGACUUUCUGGCCAUAACCUGACGCUGAGGUACGAAAGCGUGGGUAGCAAACAGG